GUCCUGUCGGGGGCUUGAUGGAAGAAGUCCCUGCGCUGGCUGAUGGGGGUCUCUGAGGGGGCUCGUCCGUGGAGCUGGGGUGAAGGAGAAUCGGAACCGGUGUCUGAAUCCGUUGGGAUGGACGCGCUGAGGGUGGAGGUGCCGGAGAUCGAGCUGGACUGAGGCCGCGACAGUCUUCCUUACGGCGUCGGAGGAAAGCCUCGACGUGCUGAAUUCCGACGGGGAAAAUUCCGGCUCCCGGAUGGGUCCUCGGGGAACGAAGGGGGUCAGGAUGCUUGAAGGAGACUGGUCGAUGCCAAGGUUACGAAGGGCCGUCCUGAGGUAAACUCUAACCUGAUUAGAUUUUGCGGGGGAAUCACCAUCAUUGAACCAGGCUUCUUCCAAAUGCUUCCGCCACACCGAAUUCAUCGUCAGGGAAGAGGGAAUUUGGCUAAGGAAGCGGUGGUCUGGUCUCUACUCGGGAAAACAAUAAAAAUACUGCCAACCAGAA
This is a long non-coding RNA of Tachyglossus aculeatus (Australian echidna), 490 nucleotides long. RefSeq lists it as uncharacterized. Lineage: Eukaryota; Metazoa; Chordata; Mammalia; Monotremata; Tachyglossidae. The record is from RefSeq and is a predicted model, not a curated record. The transcript has 3 exons.